This is a long non-coding RNA of Cotesia glomerata, 918 nucleotides long. RefSeq lists it as uncharacterized. The transcript has 3 exons. Lineage: Eukaryota; Metazoa; Arthropoda; Insecta; Hymenoptera; Braconidae. The record is from RefSeq and is a predicted model, not a curated record.
UGAGUGCGAAAACAGGAAAAUCUUAUGUCAGACGUAUGUUUAACAUCAAGGUACGAUAAUGCCAUCGAUAAGGCAGACAUCUCGAGACUUACCGGAAUAACUCUCGGCGGUUGAGUUCCCGGAAAAGAGCGCAGCUGCCGGAAGUCGCCAAAGCAAGGCGCUCUGUUCGCUCGCAAGCUCUACUCCGCCGAGCAGCUUUCACUGAGAGGGAACGAGUUUUCCCGAGCAGAGGUCCAACUACUCUCUACACCAGUUGUUGCUUUAUCCCGUCGACUGAAUCCGCUCAGAGGAGGCUCCAUCAGCUCCAAAGAUAAAGUAGAAAAUUUAUAUCACUAUGGAACAGAACUUUGGUUGUAAUCUUCAGAUGCAUUUUGCGAUGAGGCAAACGAAGAAUAACAGGAGAGAAGAGUUAAAGGAAAAAAAAGAGAAUCCGGGAGUUUAGUUCUCGAGAAAGAGUUGAAGCGUGAGAGCCUCCUGCUCCUAGUCGAAGGUAAUGUAAGGUUUUAAAUGUUGUCUAGUGUCUACUAGACGGGGGAUGGAGAUCGAGGGCUCGGUUUUGGGGGCCUUGAGAGUCGCAGGAUAAAUCUGCAUUUCGGUCUUAUUCCACUAUCCGUCGUAGCACUGGCUGCUGGGGUGUUCAUCGUAUAUAUACGGUGCUUUACCGAGAGAGCUUUCGAGCGACUCGCAAACACUCUGAUCGCGACACUGGGCUAGUACCCGGAGAGUUCUUCACUCGUUUCUAUUCGCUCGUGAAGGGCAUCAGCAUUUUCUGGGGAUCAAUGUACUCAAGAAUAACGUUGUUAUUUCAAACUCAAGAGGACGGAACAAUUCUUCGUGAUUGCGUCGAAAAACUCACCCAACCGGAAUAAAAAAUACAAUGGGAGUACCUCUUGUUUACCAUUAACUCCAAAAUCUCAA